Molecule: ribosomal RNA, 81 nt
Filed under: Phycisphaerae bacterium
Lineage: Bacteria; Pseudomonadati; Planctomycetota; Phycisphaerae
Source: RNAcentral
UGGUGCCCAAGCCCAAGGGGAAACACCUGAUCCCAUUCCGAACUCAGUAGUGAAGUCCUUGGGGCCGAUGGUAGUCCUACC